CCCUUAGAUGUUCUGGGCCGCACACGCGCUACACUGAAGGAGGCAGCGUGUACUCCUGGAUCGAAAGAUUUGGGUAACCCGCGAAUCUCCUUCGUGCUAGGGAUUGAGGUUUGCAAUUAUCCUUCAUGAACGAGGAAUUCCCAGUAAGUGCAAGUCAUAAGCUUACGCUGACUACGUCCCUGCCCUUUGUACACACCGCCCGUCGCUACUACCGAUUGAAUGAUUUAGUGAGGACUUCGGACUGGGACCGAUGCGGCUUUCGGGCUGCGUCGGUAUUCUGGAAAGAUGUCCAAACUGUAUCAUUUAGAGGAAGUAAAANUCGUAACA
Molecule: ribosomal RNA, 327 nt
Filed under: uncultured eukaryote
Lineage: Eukaryota
Description: partial 18S ribosomal RNA
Rfam family: Eukaryotic small subunit ribosomal RNA
Source: RNAcentral